This is a small nuclear RNA of Hibiscus syriacus, 161 nucleotides long. RefSeq annotates it as U1 spliceosomal RNA. NCBI's taxonomy places the organism in Eukaryota, Viridiplantae, Streptophyta, Magnoliopsida, Malvales, Malvaceae. The record is from RefSeq and is a predicted model, not a curated record. The transcript has a single exon.
AUACUUACUGGACGGGGUCAAUGGACGAUCAGCAAUGUCCAUGGCCUAGGUUAGUGACCUCCAUUGCACUUAGGAGGGGUGCUUGUCUAAGGUCUCCCCAAAGUGGAAGAGCCUACGACAUAAUUUGUGGUACUGAGGGUCUGCGUUUGAUCGGCUCCUUC